Non-coding RNA from Gasterosteus aculeatus aculeatus (three-spined stickleback), 1616 nucleotides. Lineage: Eukaryota; Metazoa; Chordata; Actinopteri; Perciformes; Gasterosteidae. The record is from RefSeq and is a predicted model, not a curated record.
CUUUAAAACCUUCCUCAUCUUACUGUUCAUCAUCUUACGUUUUUUUACGCUAAUCCACAAUGUUGUCAUGGUUCAGGGAAAAAUACAAAACAACAAUUCAGACUCUCCCUUGACUAAAAGACCAACACAUUGUAGCACGUAAAUUGUACGUAUAACUCCACUUCUAUAGCAAAUUGUAAAUUGGGUUAUUUGAUGAAAUUGCACUUUGUUAUUUCUUGCUCUUCUGAGUUUGUAUCCUUAUGGUUGAAUGCACUUAUUGUAAAUCGCUUUGGAUAAAGGCGUCAGCUCAAUUACAUGUAAUGUAAUUUAUAGGAAAAAUAAUCCACAAUGCACAGUUAAUCCAAAAACUAAAUGCCGGUAUGAAAGCUGUGUGGUGUUAUUUGUCCAAAAAUCACUACUUUCAAGCGCUUCUUUACUUCCUCGAGAUGCGUUCUUCAAAGAUAAAUAAAAAUGCCAAAAACAUAACCGAGUCCUGCAUCCCACUGUAGCAAAAGAGUCAUGACAAUAACCUCUCCGGCCAUGUUGUCACUGAUGAAUAAAGUAAAUAGACAUGCGCAUGCGCAGGCUCCAUGCAGCUGACGCAGAGAGGUGUGGUUUUGUGUUUUAACCGCGUUUCACUGAAGAGACAGUAUUUAAGCAGGAUAUCCGACUCUGUCAAUAGCAUGCCAACACAACCCAACAAGGAGCGACGCCGCAGGGUCGGCGGCGGCUUUGCGCAUGCGCUCUUCAGCUUUUCGUCUCGUGCGACGGGCGGCGGUUCUCUCCGCUCGGACUGCAGCUGGAUCUGCGGCGCAAGCCGCGAGGCUCCCGUGAGACCGACUCGUUAAACAGUAACCGCAGAACAGAAACAUCUGGCACAUCUUGAUCCCUGUCUGUUCAGCGGUGGCUGCUCUUCUGAUGGUGGUUUUGUGUUGCUGGGUCUGCUGUAAAGUGAGGCGUCGUAGGAAAACAAGUAAAGAGCUUAUGGAAUUCGACCUCGAAUUUCGACGUUUGGACAUGAACUCACUGAGUGCUCAAUGAACAGGACUCCUCACAUUACUCUGACGUUAUAAAUGUAUUGUUUUGUAUUUUGCUUAAAUGUUGAAAAAAAACACUGACUUGAGUCGUCAGUGAAAUGUCGACACGUCAUGUUAAUCUCAGCAGCAGCACCAUCAACAACAGCUUUGUGAAGUCUCAUUCUGACCAGAAUAGAUCAUGUAAAUAAUUCUUGUUUACUCUACUCUUUAAUUAUAAAAUACUGAUGCUUACAAUUAGGACCCCAAAAGUAGUUUUGAGGUCUUUAAAAACAUCCUUUAAUCCGUCUCAAAUAAAGUUAAUUUCUUCAUCAUUUCACUCAAUAAUAGUGGUCUCUCUGCAUUGUUGUUGUUUGCUUAUUUUGAGUCUUGGUGGUUUAAUGUUUGCACUGUAGCCUUGUGUGAAAAGGAAGAGCCUUUUCCCCAAAUUGUAUAAAAGCAAGGGGAAACAUCGGGAGAGUCUGGAGUGAAGUCACCUGCAAGAGGUUGUGGUUAUUUGGUUCAGUUUGUUCCUGGUUUUCCUCUUUGUCCAUUAGAAGUGUUUGUUUUUUCUCUGUUUUCCUGAAGACCACCGAGGAUAAUAAAACGGAAUGUUUAAUCGCA